RNAcentral lists this ribosomal RNA (187 nucleotides) under uncultured bacterium. RNAcentral's name for it is "partial 16S ribosomal RNA". It matches the Rfam family "Bacterial small subunit ribosomal RNA", at positions 1314 to 1500 of the family's 1533-position model. The record is from RNAcentral.
GACUACAUGAAGCUGGAAUCGCUAGUAAUCGCGGAUCAGAAUGCCGCGGUGAAUACGUUCCCGGGUCUUGUACACACCGCCCGUCACACCAUGGGAGUCGGAUAUGCCCGAAGCCGGUGACCUAACCGCAAGGAAGGAGCCGUCGAAGGUGGAGCCGAUGACUGGGGUGAAGUCGUAACAAGGUAAC